UACGUAGGGUGCGAGCGUUACUCGGAAUUACUGGGCGUAAAGCGUGCGUAGGCGGUUCGCUGUGUCCGAUGUGAAAGCCCCGGGCUUAACCUGGGAAUGGCAUUGGAAACUGGCGGGCUUGAGUGCGGCAGAGGGGGGUGGAAUUCCGCGUGUAGCAGUGAAAUGCGUAGAGAUGCGGAGGAACACCGAUGGCGAAGGCAGCCCUCUGGGUCGACACUGACGCUCAGGCACGAAAGCGUGGGGAGCAAACAGG
RNAcentral lists this ribosomal RNA (253 nucleotides) under uncultured bacterium. RNAcentral's name for it is "partial 16S ribosomal RNA". It matches the Rfam family "Bacterial small subunit ribosomal RNA", at positions 524 to 776 of the family's 1533-position model. The record is from RNAcentral.